This 450-nucleotide ribosomal RNA is filed under the name uncultured bacterium. RNAcentral describes it as "partial 16S ribosomal RNA". It matches the Rfam family "Bacterial small subunit ribosomal RNA", at positions 354 to 796 of the family's 1533-position model. The record is from RNAcentral.
GUGGGGAAUUUUGGACAAUGGGCGCAAGCCUGAUCCAGCAAUGCCGCGUGCAGGAAGAAGGCCUUCGGGUUGUAAUCUGCUUUUGUACGGAACGAAACGGUUCUGGUUAAUACCCGGGGCUAAUGACGGUACCGUAAGAAUAAGCACCGGCUAACUACGUGCCAGCAGCCGCGGUAAUACGUAGGGUGCAAGCGUUAAUCGGAAUUACUGGGCGUAAAGCGUGCGCAGGCGGUUGUGUAAGACAGGCGUGAAAUCCCCGGGCUCAACCUGGGAAUUGCGCUUGUGACUGCACGGCUGGAGUGCGGCAGAGGGGGAUGGAAUUCCGCGUGUAGCAGUGAAAUGCGUAGAUAUGCGGAGGAACACCGAUGGCGAAGGCAAUCCCCUGGGCCUGCACUGACGCUCAUGCACGAAAGCGUGGGGAGCAAACAGGAUUAGAAACCCCAGUAGUCC